Molecule: ribosomal RNA, 433 nt
Filed under: uncultured bacterium
Lineage: Bacteria
Description: partial 16S ribosomal RNA
Rfam family: Bacterial small subunit ribosomal RNA
Source: RNAcentral
AACGAACGCUGGCGGCAUGCCUAACACAUGCAAGUCGAACGAGACCUUCGGGUCUAGUGGCGCACGGGUGCGUAACGCGUGGGAACCUGCCCUUAGGUUCGGAAUAACUCCCCGAAAGGGGUGCUAAUACCGGAUAAUGUCUUCGGACCAAAGAUUUAUCGCCUUUGGAUGGGCCCGCGUUGGAUUAGCUAGUUGGUAGGGUAAAAGCCUACCAAGGCGACGAUCCAUAGCUGGUCUGAGAGGAUGAUCAGCCACACUGGGACUGAGACACGGCCCAGACUCCUACGGGAGGCAGCAGUGGGGAAUAUUGGACAAUGGGUGAAAGCCUGAUCCAGCAAUGCCGCGUGAGUGAUGAGGGCCUUAGGGUUGUAAAGCUCUUUUACCCGGGAUGAUAAUGACAGUACCGGGAGAAUAAGCGCCGGCUAACUCCGUG